UUAUAAAUAAUACCAUUACUCCAUUUUCUUGCUGUUGGAAAUGUAGAAUUAGCCGAAAGUGGAACAUUUGACAAGAAGGAACAGGAAGGGAUACUUCCUGGGCCUGAGAAGGAAAAGAUGGUGCCUGGACACCAGAUGUGUGCAGGCGCUCCAACAUGACAGUAUGCCAGCACAGAAGGACUCCGCCGCCUGUAGCAACCGCGAUGAAGCUCUAUGACGUUACCACACACGCCAAUAGCUCUGGUUCCAAAUGAUUGAGCAUUUGGGAAGCACCUCCAUCCUCCUGGGCAAUGCUCUGCAGAGAUCAUGGGCUUCUGGCACCUGUGUGGGAAUCAGGGCCACGCAGAGGAGUUUCAGAGUUUCAGAGCUAACACUGAGAUCUUGGGUCCGUUUGGAAUUGACUUUGUGUACACAGUGAACUGGAAGUGUGUUUCCGAAUGGAAUUCGUCCUCAGUGCCGGGCUGGCUGAUUAAGUCCACAGGAAAGGAAGAAAUCAGAGUAAAAUGAAUCAGAAGAGGAGGGUGCAGCACACUGUCAAGCCAAGAAGGCUGGGCUGCUGGAACGCAGGAUGCACAAUGUGCAGUCCCCCAGCUUCUCCAUGGAUGCACAGGGGAGUAAGGGAAGAGGGGAUGUACAGCCAGCCCUCCCAUUCAUUCACCCAGAGGGGAGGAGAGCCCAGUCUGGGAACCACGACAGACAAGAUGCUCAUUAACACCAACAAAGAGGCAGGAACCAUCAAGUCUCUUCUGAUAUCCCCAGCUUCCAGCAAGGACAUCCUGCAAACUGUUGCUUCCCAGUCCUAGCCCUACCAGAGCAGUUGAUGCCUCCUGUUCUCACCAGCGUAGGUUCUUCUAAGGUGGAAAUGUGUUUCUAGAACCCUGAUCAUGUGAUGUACUGAUGCUGGUGACUUUUUUUCAUGACAGAGGAAAAACUCUUUGGGUGGGGGCAAGAAUCAUUGGUUGAAAAAACUUAGUACAGAGCCAUCAAGAUGGCUCAGCUGGUGAAAGCCUUUGCUGUCAAGGCUGACAAUUACGGGGACCUUCAGAGAAAGGAGACAACAGAACCUUCAGAAAGGUCCACAUGCCCAUUGUGGCCCAAGGGCGCUUGCACUACACAGGCACAAAUACAAAACUAGUAACUUCUAGUUUUAAAAAAGUAAAAGCACAACUCCUCUACAAUGAAAACGGUUGACACAACUGAAUGUAGUUUGUCUUCAACUUCAUAGUGGAGGGCACAAUGGGCUUGGGGGUCCAGACGGUCACACCCAGACUGGUUCUUGUGGCAGAGCGGCAGGGACUUGUAGACACGCAUAUGAACAGAUGAACGAGCACUAAUGUAUAGCCAAGCUGGACAACUUGAUUUUGUUUUGUUUGCAAGUUUCUGUCUUUGCCCGUGAGGUUUUCUGGCUUUUGCACAUUCCCUGGGGAAGUUAGAGGUAAGGUCCCUUGGAACUCAGUUGCCACCUGGAGGAGCUUGUGAGAGCAGGGGCAGAACGAGGGCGAGAAGGGGUGACAGCAGAGAAUGUGAGGAGCAGGCUGUGGAGAGCUGAUGGUGUCACUGCCAGUCUAUAGUUGAUCGACAUUAUGGGCUCCACCAGGGAAUCUGGGAAAGUACUUGAGGUAAGAUUUGCAGAAUGGACUUCUGGUUAGCAUUGGCAAGAAAGGUAUGAAUUGUACACGAACCAUAAUGUGACCUUAUUUUGUUGGACUUAAUGGACUUAAUAAUGGACCUUAUUUUUGGCUGACUGUUAAGUCUAGCCUUGUUAACUUGACUGCACCCACCAGUUCUCCAGGACCCGAUGAAGCAGGUGUUACAGGCAGGCCUUUCUGCUGGAGCUGCACUUUCAUGCUUAUGGCUUUGUUUCCACAUACUUUCUUGGACCUAUACAACUUCCUUAUUUUACAUUUUCCUUUUACCGUGGUUCCUUUUCUUCUAAUUUUGUCUACUUGUCAUCUUUAAAAGAUCCAGCUGGAAUUUGUAUUGUUUCCUGGUUCUGCUAUUAUGUAUUGCCACCUCAGUGGAUUAAAGCGACACAAAUGUACCGUUAGCUCACAGGACCUGAAAUGGGUCGUUUAAAUGGAGUUAUGAUUGACUAGUGGCUAGUUAAGUCAUUCUGGAGGUUCUAGAGCUUUCCCACUUUGUCCGGAGCACUGUUUUUGCACUGAAGUCCCUCCUUCAAGCACAAAGCCAGCUGUGCUUCUUCACCUCUUCAGAGCCUUAUGGAUUAUAGCAGUUCUAUUAAGAGGUCCAGACUGUUUCAAGAUCCUUAGCUGCACCUGACAAGUCACUCGGGCCAUGUGAAGGUGAUGCCACAUAUCCAGCUUAGGGAUACGGACAGAGACAUAUCUGGAAGGAGUGCAUUCUGAAACACACAGAAGGGCAUGUCAUCUUCCAAAGACUGCUGCUGGCUCAGUCAUUUCUAUUGUUUUUUGUGUAUUAACUUCUGCUUUGUUUUCCUGGGGCUAAUUUGAGGUUCUUGUCUUUUUUCAGUGGGAUACUUAAUCCAGCCAAUUGUGUUACCCUCUGACCCUCACAUGGUAGUUUCACAUCUACAUAGUGCUUCUUUUAUCACCAAGAAAUCAUUUAAACAGCCUUUUGUUUUGGGUACUGUUCCUAUACUGGGUUUUGUUUUCUCCACUACAUAGUUAGAAGGCAUGAAUCAUAUCUGCAGACACCUGCUUGAGGAUGCACACAGUGUGAGAGAUGCUGUCUACAGCUCAAAUUCAUUUGCUGUGGUGAAUUGUUACUCUAUCUUGGGACAAGGUAUCAGGUUAAGGAGAGCUUUUCUCCUUUUUUUUUUUUUUUGGUUUUCGAGAGAGGGU
Molecule: long non-coding RNA, 2822 nt
Organism: Mus musculus (house mouse)
Lineage: Eukaryota; Metazoa; Chordata; Mammalia; Rodentia; Muridae
Product: predicted gene, 36412
Exons: 4
Source: RefSeq, a predicted model, not a curated record